UACAGAGGGUGCAAGCGUUAAUCGGAUUUACUGGGCGUAAAGCGUGUGUAGGUGGCUGCGUAAGUCGGUUGUGAAAUCCCUGGGCUCAACCUAGGAAUUGCAUCCGAUACUGCGGAGCUAGAGUUCGGUAGAGGACGGCGGAAUUCUCGGUGUAGCGGUGAAAUGCGUAGAUAUCGAGAGGAACAUCGAUGGCGAAGGCAACCGUCUGGGCCUGAACUGACACUGUGACACGAAAGCGUGGGUAGCAAACAGG
This 253-nucleotide unclassified non-coding RNA is filed under the name uncultured Salinisphaerales bacterium. RNAcentral describes it as "contains 16S-23S intergenic spacer region". It matches the Rfam family "Bacterial small subunit ribosomal RNA", at positions 524 to 776 of the family's 1533-position model. The record is from RNAcentral. Lineage: Bacteria; Pseudomonadati; Pseudomonadota; Gammaproteobacteria; Salinisphaerales.